Molecule: long non-coding RNA, 2539 nt
Organism: Megalobrama amblycephala (Wuchang bream)
Lineage: Eukaryota; Metazoa; Chordata; Actinopteri; Cypriniformes; Xenocyprididae
Exons: 2
Source: RefSeq, a predicted model, not a curated record
UUGAAAUGAGCUGUGAAGGAGGGGGGUUGUUCUUACGCAUGCGCUCAUUUCAAAAACUGGAUUCUCAGUCGACGAAAAAAUCCUCUCUAUCACCUUUAAGCACAAUGCUCGUUCACGUUCAUGGUCAUUUGCAUUUAGAAAGGCCUCCAAUGAACCAUAUAUGGUGACAACACCACCCUUUAUAAAUCACGUGAAUGUUUGUGUCCUCACUGAAAUCAUGGCAAAGAGGGCGAAAAAGAGAAACUUCUCAGAAACAGAAAUUGAAGUACUGGUCAGCCAAGUGGAAGAAAAGUGUUAUUUGGGUCACUCACUUCAGGUAUAACUAACAAAAGAAAAAAUUGUACAUGGGAGAAAAUAACGGCAGCUGUUAAUUCUGUUGGGUCAGAGGAAAGAACACCGCCAGAAAUGGUUUGACAUUAAAAUCGCUGUUACUCACUGUAAAUUACUAAUUGAGUAUUUGCAAUUAAAGGACACAGGAAACACGCAGCAGCAUUUUCUUUUUGUAGUAACACCAAUCUACCACUAGAUUCUCUGAGUAAGCAUGCUUGGCUGUGCUUAUAUUUACACACAUUCCUAUGUAUAUGUACAAGUUGGUUCUUUGUGUGGAACUGUUCUAGCACACACUUCUGUUUGUGCGCACUAUUGAUAAAUGGGCCCUGGAGUAUUUUCUGUCCUUUUUACAGAUAGAAAGAGUGAAAGCCAAUUUGGAGAAGUGCUGCUUCUUCCAAAGUGAGUGUCCCAUCUUCAUUGGAAUUGGGGUUUGUAUAUGAGUGAAACAGCUUCCCGAACAACAAAAAACAUAGGGCAUGACUUGAUUUUGUCCAUCGGGAAUUCAAUGUUGUUCAUUGUCGUUUGCUCUUGCUGUGAUCUCACGUGAAUGACAGUUUGUCUCGCUCUAUACCAUUAAACACGUCAUCAGAGAAGAGAUGUUGUUGCAAGAGGAAGGGGAAGUUAUUUUGAUUAAAGAUUAUACAAGCUCAUGAAUUUAAUUGCAUGGAUAAACAAUUUAUAAUCAAAUCUGUAAUAUUCCAUAAAAAAUAAGAAUUGUCAAUUUUGAUUUCAUAGUGACUUUAAUGCUAGAAAAACCUAUGCAUCUUCUGGCUUUACAACCAAACCAAAUCCCAGCAACAGACUUUAUGUUUGACCAUUCCCAGAAUGGCAGUCUCUAGUGGGGACAAAGUGUGCUGGAGUGUUAGUCUGUGAGUGUACAUGUAAGUUUGAAGUAUCUGUACAAAUUCACUACAGUCAGUGCAAGAAUUCCGGAAGUGCUUUAAACUAGCAGUUAUGUGAUCACAACUGGGUCCAGAAGAGACAGUAUGAGUGGUUUAAUAGAACUGCCAGGAUGUCUGGCCUGGAUGUACAUGAACACUUGAGCUUGUUAAUGCUGAAUAUUAAUCUGAACAAAUCACUAUAUAAUGGUUGGAUUUCCUCCAUCUACUAAAGGGCAAUCACAACAAAUUGUUGUCAGAAGUCAAAUCAGAAACAAUUUCUGUUGUAAAAACAUACAAGGUCUCGUAAUUUUAGUGAUUAUACUUCUCGUGGACUCUGAUAUACAUAUUUGCACUGAGAAAGUGCUUGCCCACUACUGGUGGAAUUGGUUUUAAGCCCUAAACCUGACCACUUGGAAUCUGCUAUGGAGCAUGUUUAUUAUUUACAAAUUUUCCUUAUGAAUUUGUUGUAUGCACCAUUCUACAGGAAUGCUUGGUCUGUUGGGGAAUGUUAAUACAAUGAUAAAAUGAUAAUGAUAUGAUACUACAAUUAACUGUGGCUGUGUAAAUCAAAAAUCACAGGUGGUAUUCUUUAUUAAAAUUGGUGUCUUUUAAAUUUGUUGAAAUUAUGUUAUAUAUAAAAUGAAACAAAUCUUUCUUUUUUUGUCCAAGCUUUAAUAAUCAACGUUUGGUUGGUUGCACUUUUUGCAUUUGAUUUCUUGACAUGAAAUUGGGGGGGAAAAUAAGAGCAUGAAAAAUAAAUGUGCCAUAAAUGUAAAUAGCCAUGUGUUGUCACUUUUUAUUGGACAUUUGAAUAUGUGAACCAAAAUAAAGAUACUUUUCCAUUCUUCAGCCACACUAAAAUCAACACUUUUGUGUUAUACUGAAACCAAUGCUCUAGAAUCUGCACUCAAACAUGUUGGUCAAUCAGUAACAAACUACACAGUGUCAUUUAACUUAUUUCAGGAGUGAGGCUUACUUACUGAAAAGACUGCAUCAAAAUGGUGAGAGCACAUGAUGCUGCAUUCAAACAAGAUGGAUCCAAGGUAGAAAUAACAUGUGAUCAAAGACGGCACAGCCUACACUAUAAAACUGUUACAAGAGAUACAAAACCAGUGUCCACCCUUGUUCAAACUGACACCACUGUAAAAUUUUGCAGCAGUACGCAUAGGGGUUAACAUCCUAGCUCAUUCUGAAGUCUUGCAUUGUUUCACACCUGUACUGCAGGUAUGCAAAACACAAUCAUCCUUUUACACACUCAAACUAUAUUUACAUAUACAUGUUUGCCUCUGCCAAAGUCUAUCCCACCUUUCUCUCUCUCUCUCUCUCUC